AAUAAUGAGAAAGGCUCAUGAAAUUAUUUGUUAUCCAGAAAUAACCUUUGCAAGUAAUGUUGGUAAGUAUAGGAAAAGGAAAAAAUCUUUACCAUUUUCUUUCUCAUCUUCAGUAUAACUGUGGUAUUUUAAGCUUAAUAGAGAUAAACUGAACAGAUUUACAUUUAGACUUAGUUUCACAUUCUUACAGAUUAUUUUUAGGGCUUGGUGAAUCAGGAGUGUUUUUAUGUCUUAGACAAACUUUAUUUUGUAAGAUACUUCUUUAUAUAAGCAAUAACCUCAAUUUGAGUUACUGUGGAAGACAAAUUUGUGAAGGAAAUGGAACCCAGCAGAUUUCUCAGAAAUAGUAUAUGUGAGAAACGCGACUUGUAUAAUGCAGUGAUUUCUUUAAUUCGUCAUAUGUUUGGGUAAUUAGAAAUUUUUCCAGCCUUAUAGUCAUUGAACAUCUAACCAUAAAGAAAUGAGACAAAUCUAGUUAAUAGCCCUAAAAACAACCCCAUGACUCUUAGGAAAAAAGAAUCCUGGCACUCCAUAGCAAUUUUAUUUACAACACUAGUAUUCGAGAAGUUGGUGAUGCCAGCUUCUGAAAGAAUAACCUCAGUGUCCUGGAGAAAACUUGGAUUAGGAAAAGUGAAAUUAGAAAUAAAUAUCCCAAGGUCAAGAUGUAAAAUCGAAAUGUCAGUAGCUAAUGAUUAAUCAGAAAAGUGAGCCCUCCUACAGUUUUUCUCAGUUUUUAAUGGGUUUGGAUAAAGCGGCACUGGAAAUCAUUUCAAGAACAAGUAUAUAAAUUUAGUCCAAUAUAAAUAUGUUCGUGAAUAUAGCCACUCAUGGAAACUACAGAGAUACACAAUUGUAAGCAGUUAUGUAAGUAGGUACUAUUCGUAAUUAAUAUGAUAUGGACUCUGAUGAUGCCCUAUGUUUUUGAACUUGCUGUAAAGGUGAAUCCUCAGUUCUGUCUUAAACACUUUAGGAAAUGCUCAUCAGUCACCCUCCUCACCCUUAACUCACGAUUUGAUGAAUUUGGCACAUAAGUGGUUACAAAUGGAAUAGCCUAGGGACUUGUUUUGAGCAACUCCACCACCAGAAGGUAAAACUCAGGAACCAUAAUCCUUGACAUAACCUAACCUAUUUUUUUCUUCACUUUGAGCCAAAGAAAAACUCAGCUUUACUCCUUCUUUACCCUGCAUUACCAGACUUAACCAUUAAUGUUGUAUUACAUUGGAUCUUUCAUAGUUUCUUAGCAAUUGUCCCCAAAGUUUAUUUUUUUGGCUUUGCCCACAGCAUACAGAAGUUCAUGGGCCAGGGACUGAACCCACGCCACAGCUGCAGCCAGUGCCACAUCAGUGACAACACAGGAUCUUUUCCCAGCUAGGCCACCAGGGAACUGCAAUAAAAACUUAUUUUAAGUUUUAAACA
Molecule: long non-coding RNA, 1416 nt
Filed under: Sus scrofa (pig)
Lineage: Eukaryota; Metazoa; Chordata; Mammalia; Artiodactyla; Suidae
Description: lncRNA (ENSSSCG00070015459.1)
Source: RNAcentral